UCCCAAGAUGGCGUCUGGAUGACGGAGCAGGAGGAGGGACGCGUAGCGGCAGGCUGGCCGUCUCUGCAGGCUCCUGCUGUUCUCCAGCUGAGGUAUGACUCCUCUCAGUCUUCCGGCAUCAGGCUCCAUCCUCCCUACGAGUGCUGGUUGCAAACUAUAAAAUCCAAUCGGGCUGGUUUAAGCAAGCAGAAUUUAUUGAGACUUCUUAGUAGUUCUGACUCACUGGGAGAUCUGAAGAAAAAGACACUCAAGACUGGUCUCCUGGGAACGCAACCCAGAAGCGACCCGAUGAGAACGCUGCUGCCACCACCACUCUUUGCCACCACCUUCACUUGCAAAAUGGCCCACAGCAUGCUAUGAGGCUCCCAACAGUGUCCCGGACAGGUCGAGGAAAAUGUUUAGAAUUUUACUGCAGAGAAGAUGGCUUUCCCAGUCUCCAAGUGUCCGCGAGCCUGACGCCACCUGCCAUCUGCUGGUCUUAAGCUGUAUAGCUCCAGAACAACUCCAGAGGCCAAGCGGGAACAAAGGGACCCCUCACCAACUUCGGAGGGGGAGAGGCUCCC
Molecule: long non-coding RNA, 563 nt
Filed under: Equus caballus (horse)
Lineage: Eukaryota; Metazoa; Chordata; Mammalia; Perissodactyla; Equidae
Description: lncRNA (ENSECAG00000035175.2)
Source: RNAcentral